AGAGUUUGAUCCUGGCUCAGAUUGAACGCUGGCGGCAUGCCUUACACAUGCAAGUCGAACGGCAGCACGGGAGCAAUCCUGGUGGCGAGUGGCGAACGGGGGAGUAAUGUAUCGGAACGUACCUUUCAGUGGGGGAUAACGUAGCGAAAGUUACGCUAAUACCGCAUAUUCUGUGAGCAGGAAAGCAGGGGACCUUCGGGCCUUGCGCUGAUUGAGCGGCCGAUAUCAGAUUAGCUAGUUGGUGAGGUAAAGGCUCACCAAGGCGACGAUCUGUAGCGGGUCUGAGAGGAUGAUCCGCCACACUGGAACUGAGACACGGUCCAGACUCCUACGGGAGGCAGCAGUGGGGAAUUUUGGACAAUGGGGGCAACCCUGAUCCAGCCAUGCCGCGUGAGUGAAGAAGGCCUUCGGGUUGUAAAGCUCUUUCGGCCGGGAAGAAAUCGCAUCAGCUAAUACCUGGUGUGGAUGACGGUACCGGAAUAAGAAGCACCGGCUAACUACGUGCCAGCAGCCGCGGUAAUACGUAGGGUGCGAGCGUUAAUCGGAAUUACUGGGCGUAAAGCGUGCGCAGGCGGUUUUGUAAGACAGGCGUGAAAUCCCCGGGCUCAACCUGGGAACUGCGUUUGUGACUGCAAGGCUAGAGUAUGGCAGAGGGGGGUGGAAUUCCACGUGUAGCAGUGAAAUGCGUAGAGAUGUGGAGGAACACCGAUGGCGAAGGCAGCCCCCUGGGCCAAUACUGACGCUCAUGCACGAAAGCGUGGGUAGCAAACAGGAUUAGAUACCCUGGUAGUCCACGCCCUAAACGAUGUCAACUAGGUGUUGGGUGGGUAAAACCAUUUAGUACCGGAGCUAACGCGUGAAGUUGACCGCCUGGGGAGUACGGCCGCAAGGUUAAAACUCAAAGGAAUUGACGGGGACCCGCACAAGCGGUGGAUGAUGUGGAUUAAUUCGAUGCAACGCGAAAAACCUUACCUACCCUUGACAUGUCCAGAAGCCCUUAGAGAUUUGGGUGUGCCCGAAAGGGAGCUGGAACACAGGUGCUGCAUGGCUGUCGUCAGCUCGUGUCGUGAGAUGUUGGGUUAAGUCCCGCAACGAGCGCAACCCUUGUCGUUAAUUGCCAUCAUUUAGUUGGGCACUUUAACGAGACUGCCGGUGACAAACCGGAGGAAGGUGGGGAUGACGUCAAGUCCUCAUGGCCCUUAUGGGUAGGGCUUCACACGUCAUACAAUGGUCGGUACAAAGGGUUGCCAACCCGCGAGGGGGAGCCAAUCCCAGAAAGCCGAUCGUAGUCCGGAUCGUAGGCUGCAACUCGCCUGCGUGAAGUCGGAAUCGCUAGUAAUCGCGGAUCAGCAUGUCGCGGUGAAUACGUUCCCGGGUCUUGUACACACCG
Molecule: ribosomal RNA, 1390 nt
Filed under: uncultured bacterium
Lineage: Bacteria
Description: bacterial SSU rRNA
Rfam family: Bacterial small subunit ribosomal RNA
Source: RNAcentral